RNAcentral lists this ribosomal RNA (711 nucleotides) under Triticum aestivum (bread wheat). Its description in RNAcentral is "partial small subunit ribosomal RNA". Lineage: Eukaryota; Viridiplantae; Streptophyta; Magnoliopsida; Poales; Poaceae. The record is from RNAcentral.
AUGUUGUCUCUAACCGAUUUACCACUAUCGUUUUGGGGUUAUGCAUUAGAGAUAGCUGCAUUCAUGUUUAAUAGGGCACCAAAUAAAUCCGUUGAGAUGACAUCGUAUGAAAUAUGGUUUGGCAAGAAACCAAAGCUGUCGUUCCUUAAAGUUUGGGGUUGCGAUGCUUAUGUGAAAAAGUUUCAGCCUGAUAAGCUCGAACACAAAUUGGAGAAGUGUGUCUUCAUAGGAUACCCAAAAGAAACUGUCGGUUAUUCCUUCUAUCACAGAUUUGAAGGCAAGAUCUUCGUUUCUGAGAAUGGAUCCUUUCUAGAGAAGGAGUUUCUCUCGAAAGAAAUGAGUGGGAGGAAAGUAGAACUUGAUGAGGUAAUUGUACCUUCUCUCGAAUUGGAAAGUAGCUCAUCACAAAAAGUCGUUCCCGUGAUGCCUACACCAACUAGAGAGGAAGCUAAUGAUAAUGAUCAUGAAACUUCAGAUCAAGUUACUACCGAACCUCGUAGGCCAACCAGAGUACAUUCUGCACCAGAGUGUUACGGUAAUCCUAUUAUGGACGUCAUGUUACUAGACUAUGAUGAACCUACGAACUAUGAGGGCGCGAUGAUGAACCCAGAUUCCGCAAAAUGGCUUGAGGAAAUGAAAUCUGAGAUAGGAUCCAUGUAUGAGACCAAAGUAUGGACUUUGGUGGAUGAUACGUCUCCAACGUAUCUAUAA